UAGAAAAUGUUCUUAAACCAAUCCUCUGCA
RNAcentral lists this non-coding RNA (30 nucleotides) under Rattus norvegicus (Norway rat). The record is from RNAcentral. Lineage: Eukaryota; Metazoa; Chordata; Mammalia; Rodentia; Muridae.